This is a long non-coding RNA of Hordeum vulgare subsp. vulgare (domesticated barley), 782 nucleotides long. RefSeq lists it as uncharacterized. The record is from RefSeq and is a predicted model, not a curated record. NCBI's taxonomy places the organism in Eukaryota, Viridiplantae, Streptophyta, Magnoliopsida, Poales, Poaceae. The transcript has 2 exons.
UAAAAGUUUUCCCUCGUGUCGCCCUCCUCCCGGCGGCGCGAGGGGAUACAACCCUAGAUCUCCAGCGUCUCCCACCUACUCUCCCUUUUCUCCUUGCCGCCUCCCGAGGCAACUGUCGAGCAAAGCCGUGCGGUUGUCGGUGACGGGGGCGGCGGGGAUUUCCCCACGGCGGAGGUAGCCGACACGCUUUGAGCGCGGUGGUCGUAUGUGUCGUGUGAGUAGAAGGGAUCCAUCUGAGUGCAUGUUGCCGUCUUAUACUGCAUGUGUGGUGAUCAGAUUGGAUCUAGCCUAUUCUUCCCUUGAACGGGCCGAUAUGGCCCUUAUGGUACAACAACAGUGUGGCGGCGCUCGAGAUGCUACGAGGCGGCCGGUGCGUGGAGCAUGGCUCUACAGGCCGCCAAGUAGUGCUUGUGUGGCUCGCCCGCGAGCCCGAUCUGGGACCAAGCGAGUUGUGGUGUUCGGAUGGUGUAUCUUGUGGCUGAUGGUGGUUAAAGUCCCUGCUGAUUUUGGUUCAGCCAAAGAGUAUGACCCCUAAAGAUUGUGUGGAACAAUUGAAGAAUUCGGAAUGCAUCAUCCAGAAGCUGUCGAGCAGACUAUUGUUUACUAGUUUCAUUUCUUCUAUUGAGUCGCAAGACAAACUGUAAUAGUAAGGGAGAUUUUUUUAAGUGAACACUGAGAUUGAAGUCUUUGUGUGCGCUCAAUCCAAACUCAUUCAUCCGAGUGAUGAUUCUGAAAUAUCCAUCUAAGUGGGCUAUUUAGCUUCGAUGUCGAAGAUUCAUUUC